RNAcentral lists this long non-coding RNA (1419 nucleotides) under Nicotiana tabacum (common tobacco). Its description in RNAcentral is "long non-coding RNA (NTAB_LNC015247)". Lineage: Eukaryota; Viridiplantae; Streptophyta; Magnoliopsida; Solanales; Solanaceae. The record is from RNAcentral.
GGACAGAGAAAGCAACGGACACCAAACCAUUCGUGCGUUGCUUCUGCUGCUACUUCGUCAACCGGGAACAGCCACAGCAACAACCUUCUCCCUCGUUUCCCGUCGUCAAUACCACCCCAAACAACGACCAUGACUGCCUGAAACCGGUGACCACCCUCGUCCCUCCACGCUAAUCCACCACAGUCCGUUCGACCUCCAAUAGUUCAAAUCCGAGUUUCGACUUGGGUUCGUUCAAGUUUCAGAUUUUUUUUUAAGAUUAUUUAGUUCCUUUGGUCUACUUUUCUGUUAUGGUUUUUGGUUCUAAGUGUUGUUUGUAAUCUUGUUUUGUUCAUUUUAUUUUUCGGAUUAUUGAUUCUUUGUUUAAAGUGUUAUUUUAUAAUUUUGUCUUGUUCAUUAGCUCUCCUUCUUCUUCAAGACCUUUUAUUUGGUCAAGGUUUUUCUUCUGUUUGUUUGAGUGUGCGUUAUAAGCUACAUUCGAUUUGAACAACUUCGUCGAAUAGUUAGUUUAUGACUGCUUUGUUUGGACGAAUACAACAUGAAUCACUUCGUUGGUCUGUUUUGAUACUUGAAUCAUUUGUGUGAAUUUGACUAAAGGAUUGGUUGUAGCUGUGUAGUGAUUUGGUGUAGUUGUAAAUCAAAGAGGUUUAAAUACAGAUUGCUAAGAGUGAGGUCAAGGCAAUAAUAAUAGGGGAUUUUCAGGGGUAUUUUUGGGUGUUAAAAGAUUUAAAAUGUUUUGUGUUAGUAGUCUGCCAGUUGAAUAUUCAGUGUAUAAUUAAAAUUAAUGAAUUAUUUAAUGAAAAGGGAAUUAGUAGUGCAGAAUACACCCUGUCUGGUAUCUUUAAAGGUGGAAAAAUCAGAAAAUAAGCAUGGGAUUAAUGAUAAAAGUGUAUAGAUGCACAUGGGAGGGAAUAUACAGGCUGAAACUGAAAAACUUUGAAUAAAUAAUGUUUAGUUCUAGCCUAUAAAUAGGAGGAGUUGAUAUAGAGAUAGAGGACGGAAAAUUUAGAGAAGAAAAUUUUUUCAGAACUUCAAAGUGAGAAAUAAGCUAAUUUUUCAUAAUUAAAAGUCAGUCUUUGAGAGCUAAAAAUUGAAAGUGAGGUCCUUUUCUUUACUACUGAAAUCAGAACUUUGUUACUGCUUUCUGUGGAUUGCGUUUAGUGCUACUGAAUUUUUCAGUCAGGCUUUCCGGGGUUUUUCAUUUUGGUUCUGACCAUUGUUACACUGGUUAUUGCUGGGUUUUGUUGCUGUUAUUUGAUGUGGGAUUCUGUUGCUGAAUAUGUUGUUGCUGUGUUAUUACUGCUGCUGACACCUCCUUCUUUUGUUCUUGUACUGCCAUUUCCAGGUACACAUUUGUAUACUCUCGGCUUGAAGAGAAAUGAAAUAUUAAUCAGGCUUUGUUCCUGUUGAAUUCCUCCUGUU